GCUAGUAAUAAUAACAAUGUAACGACCCGAUCCGAACCGACCUACUAGCAAUAAUAAUUCGUUGGGCCUACACCGGCCCAAAAUGCUUGAGCUCAGUUGUUAUUACUAGGGGAAGUUCUCUUAUAUGACAACCCCAUUUCUAUUAGAUGUGGGACUAUCGGGUGUCAAAGACUCCCCCCCGUUUAGGCCCUUACGUCCUCGUCAGCCUAAACACACACAAAGCCCAAGAUCACCAAGCGAUGUGAGACUUGUCUCGCUAGCCUUUGUCAUACCGACCCUGACUUAGCCUGUCAAUCACCGACCCUCACUUAAUCUGUCAUUCCGACUCUGACUCAACAAAGACCCAUCUCACACUUCCGGCUGCUAAAAUGGCUCUGAUACCAAGUGUAACAACCCGACACACUAGCAACAAUAACUCGUU
RNAcentral lists this long non-coding RNA (421 nucleotides) under Ananas comosus (pineapple). RNAcentral describes it as "long non-coding RNA (ACOM_LNC027932)". Lineage: Eukaryota; Viridiplantae; Streptophyta; Magnoliopsida; Poales; Bromeliaceae. The record is from RNAcentral.